This 474-nucleotide ribosomal RNA is filed under the name uncultured bacterium. Its description in RNAcentral is "SSU rRNA". It matches the Rfam family "Bacterial small subunit ribosomal RNA", at positions 26 to 518 of the family's 1533-position model. The record is from RNAcentral.
AGGAUCAACGCUGGCGGCGUGCCUAAUGCAUGCAAGUCGAACGUGCGGCUUUCGGGCCGAGGCGUGGCGGACGGGUGAGGAACGCGUGGGCAAUCUGCCCAGAGGUGGGGGGUAGCCUUCGGAAACGGAGGGUAAUUCCGCAUGUGCUCGAUCGCUGGUGGGGUGAUUGAGGAAAGGGACGCAAGUCUCGCCUUUGGAGGAGCCUGCGGCCGAUUAGCUUGUUGGUGGGGUAACGGCUCACCAAGGCAGUGAUCGGUAGCUGGUCUGAGAGGACGGCCAGCCACAUGGGGACUGAGACACGGCCCCAACUCCUACGGGAGGCAGCAGCAAGGAAUUUUCCGCAAUGGGCGAAAGCCUGACGGAGCAACGCCGCGUGUGGGAUGACGCUUUUCGGAGUGUAAACCACUUUUCUGGGGUACGACGAGCGACGGUACCCGAGGAAGAAGGACCGGCUAACUACGUGCCAGCAGCCGC